This 240-nucleotide unclassified non-coding RNA is filed under the name soil metagenome. RNAcentral describes it as "partial contains 5.8S ribosomal RNA, internal transcribed spacer 2, and large subunit ribosomal RNA". The record is from RNAcentral.
AACGCACGAGACCUGCGGACCUGCGGAAGGAUCAUUAACAAAUAUUGAUGUAUAUUAGUGGGCAGUAAGCGAGUGGAAGCGAGCAAAAGUGAGCGGAAGCGAGCGUGAGGGUGCUUUGUGUGUGUUGUGUGUGAGGUAUGUGAAGCGAGAGAUCAGCAGUGUUAAGCGUACUAAGCGUAAAUUGGCCUUACAGCUAGUUUACCGCUAAGCGUACUAAGCGAGAAAUCGGCUUUACAGCUA